GCACCCGUGGGAAUAACUAUGCCCAGACUUCUUCAUAUAAAAUUGAACCAUGAGAAACCAAAAGCACCCGACUGUAAAGUACGUGUGACAGCUCCGCUAUUUAUUUACUCCCCACGAUUUUUGUUUGUUUCAAAGUUGUUUUCAACUAGUUUUCUAUGACAAUGUUCUCAGACCUGGAGCAGCGUCAGUCCCUAAGUUUGCAAAAGGUUCCAUCCGCAUUAGUACACAACCAUGUCAGUUUGGAGUUCGUGUUGAACAUGAUGAAUCAUUGAAUGUGCAGUAAUUAUAUAGUCGCUAGAGGGCGCUAUAUUGAUCACAUCGCUCAAGCCUCCAUCUCAUGUUCAGCUCACAUUGUCAUGAUUGUCAUUGGCUAGGCCACUCAAUCAUGAGGGCUACAGAGAUGGUUACAGUGCAGGACAAGAGGCAGUCUUACAAGACGCAUUCAACAGAGGAUUUGCCCAUCAUGUCCAACUGGAAACCUCUGCAUCAUUCUAUAAGGGAAUUCUUUGGGCAUUGAAGACAUUUGCAGAGCGAUCUAGAACUUCCAAAACCCCACCAACGUUGAGCCUGAGUGCCAGUGAUGAAUCAAGAAUAGCAUCACUGCUAGAAGAACUCAGAAUUAUUUCUGGAGGAAAUGACUCAACAAGUGAGAAUACAAACUCAACUGAUGUUGAUGAAGAAGAUAAAACUGAUGCUGUUUCAGAAAACUGUCUCUCACAAAAUCCAGAGGGCAGCAUUGUAAGUGAUCAAGCAUCACAUUGUAAUCCUGCUGGGUGUGUUUGUCUCUCAGCUGAUUCAGAUGGAGAAGCAUCACAUGGUGGAACUUCAAAGCCAAAAAGUUUGAAUGAAGGAACAUUUGAAUACGGUGGUCAGCACUCUAAUAAAAUGAAAGAAGUUGCUGGUAAUUGUAAGGAUUUACUGAAAGAAUUAGGUCUUGAAAAAAUGCUGCACCUACUUCCGUCAAAAAGGUGUUUGCUCAAGUAAACUCUGAAAUCAAAUUCCCAGUUUUCAAGAAUAGGGGAACCAAAUUCACAAAUUAUUCAGAAACAUGCAGAUAUUCUAGAUUUUUUCUGACUCCCAGAUUUAUUCCUCGUAGAACACUGCAGCAAAAUACUAAGAUUAGUUAAUAUAUUCAAUACUAUAGUCAUACAUGUUUACAGAAUAUU
RNAcentral lists this unclassified non-coding RNA (1166 nucleotides) under Patiria miniata (bat star). RNAcentral describes it as "uncharacterized LOC119728921, transcript variant X5". The record is from RNAcentral. Lineage: Eukaryota; Metazoa; Echinodermata; Asteroidea; Valvatida; Asterinidae.